UCAAGUAGACUCCGCCCGGACUCCUAUGGGAGCCGGGCUUCGUCCACGACUCCAACGGCUGCAGACAGACUUCAUCCAGACUCCUACGGGAGCCGGACACCGCCGACAGCUUCGACCUCAAGUAGACUCCGCUCGGACUCCUACGGGAGCCGGGCUUCGUCCUCAGCGUCAACUGCUGGUAAGCCCCGUCCGGACUCCUACGGGAGCCGGACUUCACCUUUAACUUUGAUUGCAGGAAGACUCCGCCCGGACUCCUAUGGGAGCCGGGCUUCGUCCUCGACUCCAACGGCUGCAGACAGACUUCGUCCGGACUCCUACGGGAGCCGGACUACGCCGACAGCUUCGACCUCAAGUAGACUCCGCCCGGAC
This 369-nucleotide long non-coding RNA is filed under the name Elaeis guineensis (African oil palm). RNAcentral's name for it is "long non-coding RNA (EGUI_LNC057702)". Lineage: Eukaryota; Viridiplantae; Streptophyta; Magnoliopsida; Arecales; Arecaceae. The record is from RNAcentral.